UGGCGUUGACUCCAAUUGAACGCAGGCUUCACCCCUUGUGGUGCUCCCCCGCCAAUUCCUUUAAGUUUCAUACUUNGCGUACGUACUUCCCAGGCGGCAGACUUAACGGCUUCCCUGCGGCACUGCAUUGGCCACAAGCCAAUGCAUCACCGAGUCUGCAUCGUUUACAGCUGGGACUACCCGGGUAUCUAAUCCGGUUUGCUCCCCCAGCUUUCAUCCCUCACCGUCGAACGUGUUCUGGUACACCGCCUUCGCCACAGGUGGUCUUCAAUAGAUCAAAGGAUUUUACCCCUUCCUAUCGAGUACCGUGUACCUCUCCCACUCCCUAGCUGUACAGUAUUUUCGGCGGCCUAUACGUUAAGCGCAUAGAUUUAACCGAAAACUUAUGCAACCGGCUACGGAUGCUUUAGGCCCAAUAAACCUCCUGACCACUCGAGGUGCUGGUUUUACCGCGGCGGCUGACACCAGAACUUGCCCACCCCUUAUCCACCAGUGAUUCUACAACUGACAAAAGACUCCUUUAGCAGGAGACACUCGGAUUAACCUUGUCGUGCUUUCGCACAUUGCAAAGGUUUCUCGCCUGCUGCGCCCCAUAGGGCCUGGGUCCGUGUCUCAGUACCCAUCUCCGGGNCCCUCCUCUCAGAGC
RNAcentral lists this ribosomal RNA (646 nucleotides) under uncultured archaeon. Its description in RNAcentral is "partial 16S ribosomal RNA". The record is from RNAcentral.